Molecule: ribosomal RNA, 253 nt
Filed under: uncultured bacterium
Lineage: Bacteria
Description: partial 16S ribosomal RNA
Rfam family: Bacterial small subunit ribosomal RNA
Source: RNAcentral
UACGUAGGGGGCAAGCGUUGUCCGGAAUCAUUGGGCGUAAAGAGCGUGUAGGCGGCCCGGUAAGUCCGCUGUGAAAGUCGGGGGCUCAACCCUCGAAUGCCGGUGGAUACUGUCGGGCUAGAGUGCGGAAGAGGCGAGUGGAAUUCCUGGUGUAGCGGUGAAAUGCGCAGAUAUCAGGAGGAACACCAAUUGCGAAGGCAGCUCGCUGGGACGUAACUGACACUGAGGCGCGAAAGCGUGGGGAGCGAACAGG